AGUGAACGCUGGCGGUAGGCCUAACACAUGCAAGUCGAACGGCAGCACAGUAAGAGCUUGCUCUUACGGGUGGCGAGUGGCGGACGGGUGAGGAGUACAUCGGAAUCUACUUUUUCGUGGGGGAUAACGUAGGGAAACUUACGCUAAUACCGCAUACGACCUACGGGUGAAAGCAGGGGAUCUUCGGACCUUGCGCGAUUGAAUGAGCCGAUGUCGGAUUAGCUAGUUGGCGGGGUAAAGGCCCACCAAGGCGACGAUCCGUAGCUGGUCUGAGGGGAUGAUCAGCCACACUGGAACUGAGACACGGUCCAGACCCCUACGGGAGGCAGCAGUGGGGAAUAUUGGACAAUGGGCGCAAGCCUGAUCCAGCCAUACCGCGUGGGUGAAGAAGGCCUUCGGGUUGUAAAGCCCUUUUGUUGGGAAAGAAAAGCAGCAGGUUAAUACCCCGCUGUUCUGACGGUACCCAAAGAAUAAGCACCGGCUAACUUCGUG
RNAcentral lists this ribosomal RNA (492 nucleotides) under uncultured bacterium. RNAcentral's name for it is "partial 16S ribosomal RNA". It matches the Rfam family "Bacterial small subunit ribosomal RNA", at positions 29 to 507 of the family's 1533-position model. The record is from RNAcentral.